UUAAGCGACUAAGCGUACACGGUGGAUGCCCUGGCAGUCAGAGGCGAUGAAGGACGUGCUAAUCUGCGAAAAGCGCCGGCGAGGUGAUAUGAACCCUUGACCCGGCGAUGUCCGAAUGGGGAAACCCAGUGCAAUCCGUUGCACUAUCGUUAACUGAAUACAUAGGUUAACGAGGCGAACCGGGGGAACUGAAACAUCUAAGUACCCCGAGGAAAAGAAAUCAACCGAGAUUCCCCCAGUAGCGGCGAGCGAACGGGGAGCAGCCCGGAGUCUGAAUCAGUUUGUGUGUUAGUGGAACGGUCUGGAAAGUCCGACGGUACAGGGUGAUAGUCCCGUACACGAAAGCACACUUGCUGUGAACUCGAAGAGUAGGGCGGGACACGUGGUAUCCUGUCUGAAUAUGGGGGGACCAUCCUCCAAGGCUAAAUACUCCUGACUGACCGAUAGUGAACCAGUACCGUGAGGGAAAGGCGAAAAGAACCCCGGCGAGGGGAGUGAAAAAGAACCUGAAACCGUGUACGUACAAGCAGUGGGAGCCUCUUUAUGGGGUGACUGCGUACCUUUUGUAUAAUGGGUCAGCGACUUAUAUUCUGUAGCAAGGUUAACCGUAUAGGGGAGCCGAAGGGAAACCGAGUCUUAACUGGGCGUUAAGUUGCAGGGUAUAGACCCGAAACCCGGUGAUCUAGCCAUGGGCAGGUUGAAGGUUGGGUAACACUAACUGGAGGACCGAACCGACUAAUGUUGAAAAAUUAGCGGAUGACCUGUGGCUGGGGGUGAAAGGCCAAUCAAACCGGGAGAUAGCUGGUUCUCCCCGAAAGCUAUUUAGGUAGCGCCUCGUGAACUCAUCUUCGGGGGUAGAGCACUGUUUCGGCUAGGGGGCCAUCCCGGCUUACCAACCCGAUGCAAACUACGAAUACCGAAGAAUGUUAUCACGGGAGACACACGGCGGGUGCUAACGUCCGUCGUGAAGAGGGAAACAACCCAGACCGCCAGCUAAGGUCCCAAAGUCAUGGUUAAGUGGGAAACGAUGUGGGAAGGCACAGACAGCCAGGAUGUUGGCUUAGAAGCAGCCAUCAUUUAAAGAAAGCGUAAUAGCUCACUGGUCGAGUCGGCCUGCGCGGAAGAUGUAACGGGGCUAAACCAUGCACCGAAGCUGCGGCAGCGACACUAUGUGUUGUUGGGUAGGGGAGCGUUCUGUAAGCCGUUGAAGGUGUGCUGUGAGGCAUGCUGGAGGUAUCAGAAGUGCGAAUGCUGACAUAAGUAACGAUAAAGCGGGUGAAAAGCCCGCUCGCCGGAAGACCAAGGGUUCCUGUCCAACGUUAAUCGGGGCAGGGUGAGUCGACCCCUAAGGCGAGGCCGAAAGGCGUAGUCGAUGGGAAACAGGUUAAUAUUCCUGUACUUGGUGUUACUGCGAAGGGGGGACGGAGAAGGCUAUGUCAGCCGGGCGACGGUUGUCCCGGUUUAAGCAUGUAGGCGGAGGUUCCAGGUAAAUCCGGUACCUUAUUAACGCUGAGGUGUGAUGACGAGGCACUACGGUGCUGAAGUGAUAAAUGCCCUGCUUCCAGGAAAAGCCUCUAAGCAUCAGGUAACACGAAAUCGUACCCCAAACCGACACAGGUGGUCAGGUAGAGAAUACCAAGGCGCUUGAGAGAACUCGGGUGAAGGAACUAGGCAAAAUGGUGCCGUAACUUCGGGAGAAGGCACGCUGAUGUGUAGGUGAAGCCCCUGCGGGCGGAGCUGAAAUCAGUCGAAGAUACCAGCUGGCUGCAACUGUUUAUUAAAAACACAGCACUGUGCAAACACGAAAGUGGACGUAUACGGUGUGACGCCUGCCCGGUGCCGGAAGGUUAAUUGAUGGGGUUAGCUGUAAGGCGAAGCUCUUGAUCGAAGCCCCGGUAAACGGCGGCCGUAACUAUAACGGUCCUAAGGUAGCGAAAUUCCUUGUCGGGUAAGUUCCGACCUGCACGAAUGGCGUAAUGAUGGCCAGGCUGUCUCCACCCGAGACUCAGUGAAAUUGAACUCGCUGUGAAGAUGCAGUGUACCCGCGGCAAGACGGAAAGACCCCGUGAACCUUUACUAUAGCUUGACACUGAACACUGGUCCUUGAUGUGUAGGAUAGGUGGGAGGCUUUGAAGCGUGGACGCCAGUCUGCGUGGAGCCGCCCUUGAAAUACCACCCUUUAAUGGCUGGUGUUCUAACGUAGACCCGUAAUCCGGGUUGCGGACAGUGUCUGGUGGGUAGUUUGACUGGGGCGGUCUCCUCCCAAAGAGUAACGGAGGAGCACGAAGGUUGGCUAAUCCUGGUCGGACAUCAGGAGGUUAGUGCAAUGGCAUAAGCCAGCUUGACUGCGAGCGUGACGGCGCGAGCAGGUGCGAAAGCAGGUCAUAGUGAUCCGGUGGUUCUGAAUGGAAGGGCCAUCGCUCAACGGAUAAAAGGUACUCCGGGGAUAACAGGCUGAUACCGCCCAAGAGUUCAUAUCGACGGCGGUGUUUGGCACCUCGAUGUCGGCUCAUCACAUCCUGGGGCUGAAGUAGGUCCCAAGGGUAUGGCUGUUCGCCAUUUAAAGUGGUACGCGAGCUGGGUUUAGAACGUCGUGAGACAGUUCGGUCCCUAUCUGCCGUGGGCGCUGGAGAAUUGAGGGGGGCUGCUCCUAGUACGAGAGGACCGGAGUGGACGCAUCACUGGUGUUCGGGUUGUCAUGCCAAUGGCACUGCCCGGUAGCUAAAUGCGGAAGAGAUAAGUGCUGAAAGCAUCUAAGCACGAAACUUGCCCCGAGAUGAGUUCUCCCUGAGACUUUAAGUCUCCUGAAGGAACGUUGAAGACGACGACGUUGAUAGGUCGGGUGUGUAAGCGCAGCGAUGCGUUGAGCUAACCGAUACUAAUGAACCGUGAGGCUUAACCUU
Molecule: ribosomal RNA, 2903 nt
Filed under: Enterobacter cloacae
Lineage: Bacteria; Pseudomonadati; Pseudomonadota; Gammaproteobacteria; Enterobacterales; Enterobacteriaceae
Also listed under: 1 other name
Description: bacterial LSU rRNA
Rfam family: Bacterial large subunit ribosomal RNA
Source: RNAcentral